GGGAAGAGCUCAAAUUUCGAAUCUGGCGGUCUUCUGGCCGUCCGAGUUGUAAUCUAGAGAAGCGUUUUCCGCGCUGGACCGUGUAUAAGUCUCCUGGAAGGGAGCGUCGUAGAGGGUGAGAAUCCCGUCUUUGACACGGACUACCAGGGCUAUGUGAUGCGCUCUCGACGAGUCGAGUUGUUUGGGAAUGCAGCUCAAAACGGGUGGUAAAUUCCAUCUAAAGCUAAAUACAGGCGAGAGACCGAUAGCGAACAAGUACCGUGAGGGAAAGAUGAAAAGAACUUUGGAAAGAGAGUUAAACAGUACGUGAAAUUGCUGAAAGGGAAACGCUUGAUGUCAGUCGCGUCGGCCGGGGAUCAACCUUGCUUCUCGCUGGGUGUACUUCUCGGUCGACGGGUCAGCAUCGGUUUCGGUCGCCGUACAAGGGCGAGGGGAACGUGGCACUCUUCGGGGUGUGUUAUAGCCUUUCGUCGUAUGCGGCGGUCGGGACCGAGGAACUCAGCACGGCUUCGGUCUGUGCUUAGGAUGCUGGCAUAAUGGCCUUAAGCGACCCGUCUUGAAACACGGACCAAGGAGUCUAACAUGCCUGCGAGUGUUUGGGUGACAAACCCGAGCGCGCAAUGAAAGUGAAAGUUGAGACCUCUGUCGUGGAGGGCAUCGACGCCCGGACCUGAGUCUUUGACGACGGAUCUGCGGUAGAGCAUGCAUGUUGGGACCCGAAAGAUGGUGAACUAUGCCUGAAUAGGGUGAAGCCAGAGGAAACUCUGGUGGAGGCUCGUAGCGAUUCUGACGUGCAAAUCGAUCGUCGAAUUYGGGUAUAGGGGCGARAGACUA
Molecule: ribosomal RNA, 834 nt
Filed under: Caloboletus sinensis
Lineage: Eukaryota; Fungi; Basidiomycota; Agaricomycetes; Boletales; Boletaceae
Description: Boletus sinensis eukaryotic LSU rRNA
Rfam family: Eukaryotic large subunit ribosomal RNA
Source: RNAcentral